GAGUUUGAUCUUGGCUCAGAGUGAACGCUGGCGGCAGGCCUAACACAUGCAAGUCGAGCGGCAGCACGGGUAGCAAUACCUGGUGGCGAGCGGCGGACGGGUGAGGAAUACAUCGGAAUCUGCCUUGUCGUGGGGGAUAACGUAGGGAAACUUACGCUAAUACCGCAUACGACCGAGAGGUGAAAGCGGGGGAUCGCAAGACCUCGCGCGACAAGAUGAGCCGAUGUCGGAUUAGCUAGUUGGCGGGGUAAGAGCCCACCAAGGCGACGAUCCGUAGCUGGUCUGAGAGGAUGAUCAGCCACACUGGAACUGAGACACGGUCCAGACUCCUACGGGAGGCAGCAGUGGGGAAUAUUGGACAAUGGGCGCAAGCCUGAUCCAGCCAUGCCGCGUGGGUGAAGAAGGCC
Molecule: ribosomal RNA, 407 nt
Filed under: uncultured Gammaproteobacteria bacterium
Lineage: Bacteria; Pseudomonadati; Pseudomonadota; Gammaproteobacteria
Description: bacterial SSU rRNA
Rfam family: Bacterial small subunit ribosomal RNA
Source: RNAcentral